AGAGUUUGAUCAUGGCUCAGAGCGAACGCUGGCGGCAGGCCUAACACAUGCAAGUCGAGCGGGCACCUUCGGGUGUCAGCGGCAGACGGGAGAGUAACACGUGGGAACGUGCCCUUUGGUUCGGAACAACCCAGGGAAACUUGGGCUAAUACCGGAUAAGCCCUUACGGGGAAAGAUUUAUCGCCGAAGGAUCGGCCCGCGUCUGAUUAGCUAGUUGGUGGGGUAAUGGCUCACCAAGGCGACGAUCAGUAGCUGGUCUGAGAGGAUGAUCAGCCUCACUGGGACUGAGACACGGCCCAGACUCCUACGGGAGGCAGCAGUGGGGAAUAUUGGACAAUGGGCGCAAGCCUGAUCCAGCCAUGCCGCGUGGGUGAUGAAGGCCCUAGGGUUGUAAAGCCCUUUCGGCGGGGAAGAUAAUGACGGUACCCGCAGAAGAAGCCCGGCUAACUUCGUGCCAGCAGCCGCGGUA
RNAcentral lists this ribosomal RNA (469 nucleotides) under uncultured Pseudomonadota bacterium. RNAcentral's name for it is "bacterial SSU rRNA". It matches the Rfam family "Bacterial small subunit ribosomal RNA", at positions 8 to 522 of the family's 1533-position model. The record is from RNAcentral. Lineage: Bacteria; Pseudomonadati; Pseudomonadota.